AACGAACGCUGGCGGCAGGCCUAACACAUGCAAGUCGAGCGGACCCUUCGGGGUCAGCGGCGGACGGGUGCGUAACGCGUGGGAAUCUGCCCUUCUCUACGGAAUAGUCCUGGGAAACUGGGGGUAAUACCGUAUACGCCCUUUGGGGGAAAGAUUUAUCGGGGAAGGAUUAGCCCGCGUUGGAUUAGGUAGUUGGUGGGGUAAUGGCCUACCAAGCCGACGAUCCAUAGCUGGUUUGAGAGGAUGAUCAGCCACACUGGGACUGAGACACGGCCCAGACUCCUACGGGAGGCAGCAGUGGGGAAUCUUAGACAAUGGGGGCAACCCUGAUCUAGCCAUGCCGCGUGAGUGAUGAAGGCCUUAGGGUUGUAAAGCUCUUUCAGCUGGGAAGAUAAUGACGGUACCAGCAGAAGAAGCCCCGGCUAACUCCGUG
RNAcentral lists this ribosomal RNA (433 nucleotides) under uncultured bacterium. RNAcentral describes it as "partial 16S ribosomal RNA". It matches the Rfam family "Bacterial small subunit ribosomal RNA", at positions 29 to 507 of the family's 1533-position model. The record is from RNAcentral.